UGAGGGAUGAAGCUUUAAGGAGGUAAACCUCUGUUAGGAGGGAAGAAUAAUGGCAAUUCGAAACAGGGGUUGUCAGAUGACGGUACCUCCAGAGGAAGCCCCGGCUAACUCCGUGCCAGCAGCCGCGGUAAUACGGGGGGGGCUAGCGUUGUCCGGAAUUACUGGGCGUAAAGGGCGCGUAGGCGGGAUAGCAAGUCAGUGGUGCAAACUUGAGGCUUAACUUCAAGCUUGCCAUUGAUACUGUUAUUCUUGAGUUCGGCAGAGGGAAGUGGAAUUCCUGGUGUAGCGGUGAAAUGCGUAGAUAUCAGGAAGAACACCGGUGGCGAAGGCGGCUUCCUGGUCCGAUACUGACGCUGAGGCGCGAAAGCGUGGGGAGCGAACAGGAUUAGAUACCCUGGUAGUCCACGCUGUAAACGAUGGGUACUAGGUGUUGGUUGUAAUGAUCAGCGCCGGAGCAAACGCAUUAAGUACCCCGCCUGGGGAAUACGGUCGCAAGACUGAAACUCAAAGGAAUUGACGGGGGCCCGCACAAGCGGUGGAGCAUGUGGUUUAAUUCGAUGCAACGCGAAGAACCUUACCUGGGCUUGAACUGCAGGUGCUAUCUCCUGAAAGGGAGUUUCCUUCGGGACGCCUGUAGAGGUGCUGCAUGGCUGUCGUCAGCUCGUGCUGUGAGGUGUUGGGUUAAGUCCCGCAACGAGCGCAACCCCUGUCCCUAGUUGCCAUCAGGUCAAGCUGGGAACUCUAGGGGGACUGCCCCGGAUAACGGGGAGGAAGGUGGGGAUGACGUCAAGUCAUCAUGGCCCUUACGUCCAGGGCUACACACGUGCUACAAUGGCCGGUACAACGGGUAGCGAGACAGUGAUGUGGAGCAAAUCCCUUAAAACCGGUCUCAGUUCAGAUUGCAGUCUGCAACCCGACUGCAUGAAGUUGGAAUCGCUAGUAAUCGCGGAUCAGCAUGCCGCGGUGAUACGUUCCCGGGCCUUGUACACACCGCCCGUCACGCCAUGGGAGUCGGUAGCACCCGAAGCCGGUGGCCCAAUCCUGCUUGCAGG
This 1052-nucleotide ribosomal RNA is filed under the name uncultured organism. RNAcentral describes it as "bacterial SSU rRNA". It matches the Rfam family "Bacterial small subunit ribosomal RNA", at positions 402 to 1449 of the family's 1533-position model. The record is from RNAcentral.